GUCCCCCAGAGCAAGGCAGGAAGAUUUUCGCUCAGUCCUGCGAGGAGAAGCUCGGGCAGAACAGGGAGCUGCUCCCCAGCCUGCAGACAGCCUUGCAGGAGGACUCCAAUAUCCUGGAAUUUGUCCUGAAGUACAACAAACUCCCCAUUAAGGAUGCUUUUGGAGAGGGCCAGGAGCUCGUUUCAGCCACUGAGAACCUGGAGGUGGUCAUAAAGAAGAUCGAGGCCAAAGUGCAUGACCAGGUGAAGGUGUGUGACAUGCUGCUGCACCAGCUGAAGCAGUGGAGCCAAGCCAGGGACGAGCGCCAGAGGCACCUGCAGGAUCUGCAGCAUGCUGAGACGGAUCCUAAGUGGCAAGAGCCACAGUUGCAGACCAUUCGCCAGCUGGGCAAUGACAUCGAGAAGAUGCUCAUGAAAAUUCACAGUGGAGAGAUCGUGACCAAACUGUACCUGAGGCUGCAGGAGGUCCUGAGGAGGGUGAGCUGCUCCUCACUGUGCUAGUGUUUCACCUGCUCUCCCUGCAAAGGCACGGGGUGCCCAAGGGGCUGUGUCCCAGGGGACACCCAGCUGGUCCCCUCCAUGGCCUGUCACAGCACAGGGGACCCUGGUGGGUGAUGUGCUGUGGCUCCUUGUGUGCCAGGAGCUGGUGUACCUGCCUCGAUACCUAGACCUCCUGUCUGGGAUGACUGUGAUGUACCACGAGGAGCUCACAGCCCGGACUAGCCUCAAAGCCAACAAUGUCAUCAAGGUGAGGUAACUGGGGCCCUUUCCCACCCU
Molecule: long non-coding RNA, 776 nt
Filed under: Chloebia gouldiae (Gouldian finch)
Lineage: Eukaryota; Metazoa; Chordata; Aves; Passeriformes; Passeridae
Description: Erythrura gouldiae (Gouldian finch) lncRNA (ENSEGOG00005012696.1)
Source: RNAcentral